GACGACGUGGCCGAGUGGU
Molecule: small nuclear RNA, 19 nt
Filed under: Phaeodactylum tricornutum CCAP 1055/1
Lineage: Eukaryota; Bacillariophyta; Bacillariophyceae; Surirellales; Neidiaceae
Description: snRNA PTsRNA00025b
Source: RNAcentral